GACGAACGCUGGCGGCGUGCUUAACACAUGCAAGUCGAACGGAAAGGCCCUGCUUUUGUGGGGUGCUCGAGUGGCGAACGGGUGAGUAACACGUGAGUAACCUGCCCUUGACUUUGGGAUAACUUCAGGAAACUGGGGCUAAUACCGGAUAGGAGCUCCUGCUGCAUGGUGGGGGUUGGAAAGUUUCGGCGGUUGGGGAUGGACUCGCGGCUUAUCAGCUUGUUGGUGGGGUAGUGGCUUACCAAGGCUUUGACGGGUAGCCGGCCUGAGAGGGUGACCGGCCACAUUGGGCCUGAGAUACGGCCCAGAAUCCUACGGGAGGCAGCAGUGGGGAAUAUUGCACAAUGGGCGGAAGCCUGAUGCAGCGACGCCGCGUGCGGGAUGACGGCCUUCGGGUUGUAAACCGCUUUCGCCUGUGACGAAGCGUGAGUGACGGUAAUGGGUAAAGAAGCACCGGCUAACUACGUG
This 468-nucleotide ribosomal RNA is filed under the name uncultured bacterium. RNAcentral's name for it is "partial 16S ribosomal RNA". It matches the Rfam family "Bacterial small subunit ribosomal RNA", at positions 28 to 507 of the family's 1533-position model. The record is from RNAcentral.